GAUGAACGCUGGCGGCGUGCCUAAUACAUGCAAGUCGAGCGAACAGACGAGGAGCUUGCUCCUCUGACGUUAGCGGCGGACGGGUGAGUAACACGUGGAUAACCUACCUAUAAGACUGGGAUAACUUCGGGAAACCGGAGCUAAUACCGGAUAAUAUAUUGAACCGCAUGGUUCAAUAGCGAAAGACGGUUUUGCUGUCACUUAUAGAUGGAUCCGCGCCGCAUUAGCUAGUUGGUAAGGUAACGGCUUACCAAGGCAACGAUGCGUAGCCGACCUGAGGGGGUGAUCGGCCACACUGGAACUGAGACACGGUCCAGACCCCUACGGGAGGCAGCAGUAGGGAAUCUUCCGCAAUGGGCGAAAGCCUGACGGAGCAACGCCGCGUGAGUGAUGAAGGUCUUCGGAUCGUAAAACUCUGUUAUUAGGGAAGAACAAAUGUGUAAGUAACUAUGCACGUCUUGACGGUACCUAAUCAGAAAGCCACGGCUAACUACGUG
RNAcentral lists this ribosomal RNA (497 nucleotides) under uncultured bacterium. RNAcentral's name for it is "partial 16S ribosomal RNA". It matches the Rfam family "Bacterial small subunit ribosomal RNA", at positions 28 to 507 of the family's 1533-position model. The record is from RNAcentral.